This 458-nucleotide ribosomal RNA is filed under the name uncultured Acidobacteriota bacterium. Its description in RNAcentral is "bacterial SSU rRNA". It matches the Rfam family "Bacterial small subunit ribosomal RNA", at positions 103 to 540 of the family's 1533-position model. The record is from RNAcentral. Lineage: Bacteria; Pseudomonadati; Acidobacteriota.
CGGGUGAGUAACACGUGGGUGACCUGCCCCAUAGUGGGGGAUAACGACCCGAAAGGGUCGCUAAUACCGCAUAACAUCCUGCGUUUAGAGACGCGGAGAUCAAAGCCCUGGUCGCAAGACCUGGCGCUUGGAGAGGGGCCCGCGGCCGAUUAGCUAGUUGGUGAGGUAACGGCUCACCAAGGCAACGAUCGGUAUCCGGCCUGAGAGGGCGGACGGACACACUGGGACUGAGACACGGCCCAGACUCCUACGGGAGGCAGCAGUGGGGAAUUGUUCGCAAUGGGCGCAAGCCUGACGACGCAACGCCGCGUGGAGGAUGAAGAUCUUCGGGUCGUAUUCUCCUUUCGAUCGGGAAGAACGUUUCCGGGGUAAAUAAUCCCGGGAAGUGACGGUACCGAGAGAAGAAGCCCCGGCUAACUCCGUGCCAGCAGCCGCGGUAAUACGGGGGGGGGCAAGCG